RNAcentral lists this ribosomal RNA (1635 nucleotides) under Shigella flexneri. Its description in RNAcentral is "partial 23S ribosomal RNA". It matches the Rfam family "Bacterial large subunit ribosomal RNA", at positions 1322 to 2925 of the family's 2925-position model. Lineage: Bacteria; Pseudomonadati; Pseudomonadota; Gammaproteobacteria; Enterobacterales; Enterobacteriaceae. The record is from RNAcentral.
UGAAAAGCCCGCUCGCCGGAAGACCAAGGGUUCCUGUCCAACGUUAAUCGGGGCAGGGUGAGUCGACCCCUAAGGCGAGGCCGAAAGGCGUAGUCGAUGGGAAACAGGUUAAUAUUCCUGUACUUGGUGUUACUGCGAAGGGGGGACGGAGAAGGCUAUGUUGGCCGGGCGACGGUUGUCCCGGUUUAAGCGUGUAGGCUGGUUUUCCAGGCAAAUCCGGAAAAUCAAGGCCGAGGCGUGAUGACGAGGCACUACGGUGCUGAAGCAACAAAUGCCCUGCUUCCAGGAAAAGCCUCUAAGCAUCAGGUAACAUCAAAUCGUACCCCAAACCGACACAGGUGGUCAGGUAGAGAAUACCAAGGCGCUUGAGAGAACUCGGGUGAAGGAACUAGGCAAAAUGGUGCCGUAACUUCGGGAGAAGGCACGCUGAUACGUAGGUGAAGCGACUUGCUCGUGGAGCUGAAAUCAGUCGAAGAUACCAGCUGGCUGCAACUGUUUAUUAAAAACACAGCACUGUGCAAACACGAAAGUGGACGUAUACGGUGUGACGCCUGCCCGGUGCCGGAAGGUUAAUUGAUGGGGUUAGCGCAAGCGAAGCUCUUGAUCGAAGCCCCGGUAAACGGCGGCCGUAACUAUAACGGUCCUAAGGUAGCGAAAUUCCUUGUCGGGUAAGUUCCGACCUGCACGAAUGGCGUAAUGAUGGCCAGGCUGUCUCCACCCGAGACUCAGUGAAAUUGAACUCGCUGUGAAGAUGCAGUGUACCCGCGGCAAGACGGAAAGACCCCGUGAACCUUUACUAUAGCUUGACACUGAACAUUGAGCCUUGAUGUGUAGGAUAGGUGGGAGGCUUUGAAGUGUGGACGCCAGUCUGCAUGGAGCCGACCUUGAAAUACCACCCUUUAAUGUUUGAUGUUCUAACGUGGACCCGUGAUCCGGGUUGCGGACAGUGUCUGGUGGGUAGUUUGACUGGGGCGGUCUCCUCCUAAAGAGUAACGGAGGAGCACGAAGGUUGGCUAAUCCUGGUCGGACAUCAGGAGGUUAGUGCAAUGGCAUAAGCCAGCUUGACUGCGAGCGUGACGGCGCGAGCAGGUGCGAAAGCAGGUCAUAGUGAUCCGGUGGUUCUGAAUGGAAGGGCCAUCGCUCAACGGAUAAAAGGUACUCCGGGGAUAACAGGCUGAUACCGCCCAAGAGUUCAUAUCGACGGCGGUGUUUGGCACCUCGAUGUCGGCUCAUCACAUCCUGGGGCUGAAGUAGGUCCCAAGGGUAUGGCUGUUCGCCAUUUAAAGUGGUACGCGAGCUGGGUUUAGAACGUCGUGAGACAGUUCGGUCCCUAUCUGCCGUGGGCGCUGGAGAACUGAGGGGGGCUGCUCCUAGUACGAGAGGACCGGAGUGGACGCAUCACUGGUGUUCGGGUUGUCAUGCCAAUGGCACUGCCCGGUAGCUAAAUGCGGAAGAGAUAAGUGCUGAAAGCAUCUAAGCACGAAACUUGCCCCGAGAUGAGUUCUCCCUGACCCUUUAAGGGUCCUGAAGGAACGUUGAAGACGACGACGUUGAUAGGCCGGGUGUGUAAGCGCAGCGAUGCGUUGAGCUAACCGGUACUAAUGAACCGUGAGGCUUAACCUUACAACGCCGAAG